GAGCUUGCUCUUAUGAAGUUAGCGGCGGACGGGUGAGUAACACGUGGGUAACCUGCCCAUAAGACUGGGAUAACUCCGGGAAACCGGGGCUAAUACCGGAUAACAUUUUGAACCGCAUGGUUCGAAAUUGAAAGGCGGCUUCGGCUGUCACUUAUGGAUGGACCCGCGUCGCAUUAGCUAGUUGGUGAGGUAACGGCUCACCAAGGCAACGAUGCGUAGCCGACCUGAGAGGGUGAUCGGCCACACUGGGACUGAGACACGGCCCAGACUCCUACGGGAGGCAGCAGUAGGGAAUCUUCCGCAAUGGACGAAAGUCUGACGGAGCAACGCCGCGUGAGUGAUGAAGGCUUUCGGGUCGUAAAACUCUGUUGUUAGGGAAGAACAAGUGCUAGUUGAAUAAGCUGGCACCUUGACGGUACCUAACCAGAAAGCCACGGCUAACUACGUGCCAGCAGCCGCGGUAAUACGUAGGUGGCAAGCGUUAUCCGGAAUUAUUGGGCGUAAAGCGCGCGCAGGUGGUUUCUUAAGUCUGAUGUGAAAGCCCACGGCUCA
This 552-nucleotide ribosomal RNA is filed under the name Bacillus tropicus. RNAcentral describes it as "bacterial SSU rRNA". It matches the Rfam family "Bacterial small subunit ribosomal RNA", at positions 76 to 611 of the family's 1533-position model. The record is from RNAcentral. Lineage: Bacteria; Bacillati; Bacillota; Bacilli; Caryophanales; Bacillaceae.